CCAGGGAUCAAACUUGCGUCCUUGCGCUUGUGCAUCAGGUGGCGAAACCACUGAGCUAAAUCCCCGCCCCCAGUUAUUACUUUUUUGUGUAAUAAAUAUUUUGUAUUUGAAAAAAGAAAAAAAGAGUGGUUGCCGGGAGUGGUGGCGCACACCUGUAAUUCCAGCACUUGGGAAGCAGAGGCAGGAGGAUCAACAUGAGUUUGAGUCUAGCCUGAACACAAAGUGAGACCUUGUCUAAAGAAAAAAGAGGUGACAGUGGACACCUUGUCCUGUUCUUGAUUUUACUUCCAGGCUGCCUGCCUUUCUUCCCUCCUCCCUCCCAUCUUUCUUUCUCUCUCUCUCCUCUCUCUCCUCUCUCUCCUUUUUUUUUCUGUACCGGGAAUCAAAUUCCAGGCCUUAUGUUUGCCAAGGCAUUGAGCCACUGAACUACAUCCCUGGCAUUUUUUUUUUUUUUGGUACCGGGGAUCAAACUCGGGUCCUUGCGCCUGCUCACCAGGAAGCGAAACCACUGAGCUAAAUCCCAGGCCCUUGAGACGAGGUCUUGCUAUGUAGUUCAGGCUGGCCUUGAACUCACUGUGUAGCCCAGGCUGGCCUCAAACUCAGUGAUCCUCUUGCCUCAGCUUCUCCAAUGCCAGUCCAGGCUAGCCUCACUCAUGCUCAACCUCCUGCCUCAGCCUCCCAUGUGCUGUGAUUACAGGCAUAUGCCACCAUGCCCACCUUUGGCACCCUUUUCCUAAACCAUUUAACCAUAUAUAUGAGGAUCUGUUUCUCAGCUGUCUUCUAUUCCUUUGAUCUGUUUGUCUUCCACCAGUACAGCACUGUUUUGAUUACUGUAGCUUUAUAGUUUUGUGUUUUGAGCCAACUCCUCACUAUGUAGUUCAGGCUAGCCUUGAUUUUUUUUUUUUUUUUGAAACAAGGUCUUGCUAUUUAGUUCAGUCUGGCCUUGAACUCACUCUGUAACUCACGUUGGCCUCAAACUCACAGCAAUCCUCCUUUUUCAGCCUCCUGUGUGCUGGGAUUAUAGGCGUGCAUCAUCAGGAAGUGAUGGUGACUCCCAGGUCAGCGCAGUGGAACGAGGUGACUACAAAGGCCCCAGUCUCGGCUGAGGAGGAGAUGCGGCUGGCCUCGCGGGCUUCUCGGGCAGGGUCCACCAUGGUCCGGG
Heterocephalus glaber (naked mole-rat) is the source of this 1162-nucleotide long non-coding RNA. Lineage: Eukaryota; Metazoa; Chordata; Mammalia; Rodentia; Bathyergidae. The record is from Ensembl.